CUCGUUUUUGAUUAUCGUAAUUUAAUUUAAUUGUUUUUCGCUUUUUAAUUUGCUUUUAGUUUGGUUUAAUUGUUGGUUAAUGGUGUUACCUGUUUACUGUGUGUGGUUUGAUUUGUUGUUGUCUUUGUUUGGGAAGGGUUAUGAUACUUACCAAUCCAUUGUCUAUUGAUUGUGGUGGACCACAAUUUAAUAAUUCUUGGUCACCUAUGUCAUUUACAUUAUCGAUACGAUUAUUAUUGUGAUGGAGUAUCUCUGGACGUCUGACAUUGACGUAUGCAAAUUCAUUUCGCCUUGCGGCUAAGUUGGUGUCACCAUAGCUUGAUGAUUGAGCUGUAACUGGAUGAA
Long non-coding RNA from Panonychus citri (citrus red mite), 345 nucleotides. RefSeq lists it as uncharacterized. The record is from RefSeq and is a predicted model, not a curated record. NCBI's taxonomy places the organism in Eukaryota, Metazoa, Arthropoda, Arachnida, Trombidiformes, Tetranychidae. The transcript has 2 exons.